This 2984-nucleotide long non-coding RNA is filed under the name Lactuca sativa (garden lettuce). RNAcentral describes it as "long non-coding RNA (LSAT_LNC009425)". The record is from RNAcentral. Lineage: Eukaryota; Viridiplantae; Streptophyta; Magnoliopsida; Asterales; Asteraceae.
UUGACUUGAUUUUCGCAUUUUAAUGAAAACACGAUUCAUAAAUAUACCAAACAUCAAGGGAAAAACAUGUAAUCCAAUGGAAGGCACUACCUAUAUUCACAAUUUGCAGUUAAAUCAGACAAAGUGAAUGGAAAUGAAGUAUAGAUAUAUGCUCCACAAUGCAUUAAAGUGAUACUAUAGCAUUGCUUUGUACAAAAUGUGCUUAUAAUGCAUGCAUUGCAAAUAGCAGCUAGCGGGUGUUUGACAUGAGAAAUUUAUGGGUGCCAUAUAUGGGAAUAACCAUCAGGUACCUGUCGCAUAUUACAAAAGAAAAUUUCAUGGGGAGGAAAAGGAGGAUAGAAAUUUCUCAAGUUUCAAACAACUGACAAUUGAGAUCUAUUUCUUUUGGCAAUUAAAUUCUAUACAUUUGACCAACCAUCUAUUGCAUGUCUAUUUCUGCAUUGAAUUGGAAAAGUGACAUGUUUGGUUCUCAAGUUUUAAUACAUUUUGGUAACCAAACAUAUCAUGCAAUAAAAUCUUGAAUUCCAUCUACCUUGGACUAAGCUGGAAUCCAUGAGGUAAAACAGGUCCGUACCAACAAAAAUCCAUAUAAAUCUAAUAAACAAAACACAAGGAACAAAAGCCUAGAUUUCGAUUUCGUUUGAUAUACCUAGAAUAUACAAACCAAAUACGCUCCAAGGAUAUGUUUUAUUCACGGAUUCGGGCGAAAUCCAAUGACACUGGAAUGUGAGAUUCCAUUUCAUGACAUGUUUGGUCGCCCAAUUGAUGCAAUUUAAUUGAGUCCAUUCCAACGACAUCCGCCAAAAUCCAUAUAUGAUGGAUUUCAUCAUUUCUAGGAAUGGAAGAUGGAAUUAAAUUCCUUUCUCCCAUAUCAAACUAUCCAUACAAACCCUAUACUUAUUAAAGGGUAUUUUGGUCAUUUAACAAAUUAUUCUGCCCAUUUAUAUAUUCCGAAACAUAUCAACUUAUAAACAUAUAAAGAAGACUCUAUACAAACUAUAACCAAUCGUAAUUAUUGUUAAGAUAUUCAACAACAGGUGAUUUAUCUCUGGUUAAUAGCUCUUUAAAUGUUUCUAUUGCAUCUGAUUCUAUGUCAAAUUCGGAUCAUGAUGGUAGUCGAACAACAUUUUCAUAUGAUCUGAUUCGAAUAUAUAUAUAUAUAUANNNNNNNNNNNNNNNNNCGAAAGUAAGCAAUCUAUACAUGUCAUAUUCAAAAGAGAAUAUUAAUCAAUUAAUAAUCAAACUAUAGAAAAUAAAAUGCAUUCUCACUUUGCAGCAACCUGAUGCCUCUCUCAAAAUAUCACAAAAGGAAAUAGUAGUCGGUAGAUCGGCGUAGUUGAAUAUGUAACAAUUUAUAAUGGUGUGUUAUUAUACCAUAAUGUAUGAAAUGAACCUUUCUGUUCCUUCCCAGAUUCUAUGAAUCAAAAGUAUCAUGUACUUACAGAAUAAAACCUCAUCAUCCUCUCCUUUUAUCGACAAGCUUUCUCCAUCCAGUUGAUCUCCUUUACCAAGAGAUCCCUCCAUAUUUCGUCUUCAUUAGACUUGACAUCCUGUAAAAAGACAUGCAAUAUCAGAUACAUAGUAGAAAACAAACUAACAGCACAAAUGAUGUUAUAUAAAUCAACAUUAUAUCAACUAAGGACAAUUAUAUCAAUAAAAACAAUUUUAGAAAAUAGUUUCAACCUUGAGAGAAGUAAACUGAGACCCAAUUGGGUGGAGACUUAAUGGGAACAAUAAAGAAUUCCUCGAGGUAAAUAAGAUGAUCAGUUUAGGAGUAAUGGCAAUAAAAGUUAUUAUUUUGGAGAACCUAUUCAAGACAUUGUAGUAUACUGGAACAAUAUGAGCGAAAUUUUUUUAGAGGAUUCAAAAGCUAAUUUAGAAUAUAUCAACAACGAAACAUAUGAAUCAUAAAAUAGAAUAAUUCCUAAAUCCGAAGAAAAAGUACACCUGCAAACAUUUGAAGGGAUUAUAAUUCUUUCUAACCUUCUAUAUUAUUGAUCUUCUAUUUCAUCAAUGUUUCUAACCUUCUCUAACAGUAUGGGUAAUAGAGUCUGACCAACUUCUAUUCACAUAAUCGCGUUUAUGGUUCUAUAAAAGAAUAUAAUUUUUUCAAUUUUGCUAAAGUACAAAACAAAUCCACAACUUAGGAAAACCCAAAUAGCAUCCACUUUGAAAGACUACAUAUGAAUCAACUUUGUUAAGGUUUAAGGAGGGAAAAAUCGACCACCUUUCGCAGCCUUCUAUAUCCAGUAAUGGUGGUGGCUAGAAGGUAUCUUCCCUACGACGUGUUUUCCAUCGAUUCAAUACAAAAGGAGACGAGAUUGAAAACCAUUCUAACAAACAUAGCUUUUGAUUUAGUUCAGGAAUACAAAGUAAAAAUCAUUAAUCAUAAUACUUACUCAAACUCUAGCAGUCGGAUCUUGACACCAACAAUUGAGGUAAUACCAAAAUCGGAAAACCCAAAUCCAAAAGAAAACCCGGUCGAAGUGUUGCACCACUAGAAAGCCCCAUCCCCAUCCUAGGAAUUACCGGCAUUGAAUGUAUCCGACAUCGAAGCAGGACUCGUCGGUUGUGGAUGUCGCCGUAGUCGAAGUAGAGUUGCAUGAAAUUAGGGCUCGCCGACUUCUGCAGUGGUGGAGGUAGACUCAUCGGAGUGUUCUGUGGUGGAGGCGGACUCGUCCGCGUCGGCUAUGGCGGAAUCGAAGAAGCAAACUGAGCGAUCGAUCGACUGCACUCUACGGUGGUAUCAUAGAAGAACUCCCAUAAGUUCGAUUUGUGGCCUCUUUGUGUUGAUUUCUUUCAAAAGAGAGGAGAAGGUUUGGAGAAGCGUAAGAAGUGGUGGAAGGAAGAAACUUGAUUGCCGGCAUUCCAAGCGGUUGAAAGUUUUGUGGAUUGAGAAGAAGCGGUGGAUGAGAGGUUAAAGUAACUCAGGUGGAGGGGAGUAACUAGAUGAACAGUAUCUGUGGUCAGGUACGGUUCAAAAG